Molecule: ribosomal RNA, 544 nt
Filed under: uncultured Glomeromycotina
Lineage: Eukaryota; Fungi; Glomeromycota
Description: SSU rRNA
Rfam family: Eukaryotic small subunit ribosomal RNA
Source: RNAcentral
UUGGAGGGCAAGUCUGGUGCCAGCAGCCGCGGUAAUUCCAGCUCCAAUAGCGUAUAUUAAAGUUGUUGCAGUUAAAAAGCUCGUAGUUGAAUUUCGGGGUUCUACCGUUGGUCGGGCUUUGUCUGUACUGGUGUGUAGAAUUUCUACCUUCUGGGGAACCAUCAUGCUAUUAAUUUAGCGUAGUGGGAAACCAGGACCUUUACCUUGAAAAAAUUAGUGUGUUCAAAGCAGGCUUAUGUCUGAAUACAUUAGCGUGGAAUAAUAGAAUAGGACGGUGGUCCUGUUUUGUUGGUUUCUGAAUCACCGUAAUGAUUAAUAGGGAUAGUUGGGGGCAUUAGUAUUCAAUUGUCAGAGGUGAAAUUCUUGGAUUUAUUGAAGACUAACUUCUGCGAAAGCAUUUGCCAAGGAUGUUUUCAUUAAUCAAGAACGAAAGUUAGGGGAUCGAAGACGAUCAGAUACCGUCGUAGUCUUAACCAUAAACUAUGCCGACUAGGGAUCGGACGAUGUUAAUUUUUCUUGACUCGUUCGGCGCCUUACGGGAAAC